GUGAGUCAUCGAAUCUUUGAACGCAAAUUGCACUCUCUGGUAUUCCGGGGAGUAUGCCUGUUUGAGGGUCAGUUUAAAUAAAAUCGUAUGUUGCUUUUGUGACAUUCGGAAUUGGGUGGUCUUAACCCGUUUAGGUUAAGAGACCUGAAAUUUGAUAUUAUGUUGCAUCCUAGACGUGUAUAAUUCAUUUAUCCGUUUUCGGGUGUUAUUUUUUAUUAGGUAUGAUCUCGUAUGAUUAUUAUGCCUAUAAUUCUUCACAUUUUGACCUCAAAUCAGGUAAGAAUACCCGCUGAACUUAAG
This 300-nucleotide unclassified non-coding RNA is filed under the name uncultured Glomeromycotina. RNAcentral's name for it is "sequence contains 5.8S rRNA gene, ITS2". The stretch from base 1 to 71 matches the Rfam family "5.8S ribosomal RNA", at positions 84 to 154 of the family's 154-position model. Lineage: Eukaryota; Fungi; Glomeromycota. The record is from RNAcentral.